UACAGAGGGGGCAAGCGUUAUUCGGAAUUAUUGGGCGUAAAGGGCGCGUAGGCGGCCUGGCAAGUGGAUGGUGAAAUCCCUCGGCUUAACCGAGGAACUGCCAUCCAGACUGCUUGGCUUGAGACCGGGAGAGGUGAGUGGAAUUCCCAGUGUAGCGGUGAAAUGCGUAGAUAUUGGGAGGAACACCAGUGGCGAAGGCGGCUCACUGGUCCGGUACUGACGCUGAGGCGCGAAAGCGUGGGGAGCGAACAGG
Molecule: ribosomal RNA, 253 nt
Filed under: uncultured bacterium
Lineage: Bacteria
Description: partial 16S ribosomal RNA
Rfam family: Bacterial small subunit ribosomal RNA
Source: RNAcentral